GACGAACGCUGGCGGCGUGCCUAAUACAUGCAAGUCGAGCGAACGGACGAGAAGCUUGCUUCUCUGAUGUUAGCGGCGGACGGGUGAGUAACACGUGGAUAACCUACCUAUAAGACUGGGAUAACUUCGGGAAACCGGAGCUAAUACCGGAUAAUAUUUUGAACCGCAUGGUUCAAAAGUGAAAGACGGUCUUGCUGUCACUUAUAGAUGGAUCCGCGCUGCAUUAGCUAGUUGGUAAGGUAACGGCUUACCAAGGCAACGAUGCAUAGCCGACCUGAGAGGGUGAUCGGCCACACUGGAACUGAGACACGGUCCAGACUCCUACGGGAGGCAGCAGUAGGGAAUCUUCCGCAAUGGGCGAAGGCCUGACGGAGCAACGCCGCGUGAGUGAUGAAGGUCUUCGGAUCGUAAAACUCUGUUAUUAGGGAAGAACAUAUGUGUAAGUAACUGUGCACAUCUUGACGGUACCUAAUCAGAAAGCCACGGCUAACUACGUGCCAGCAGCCGCGGUAAUACGUAGGUGGCAAGCGUUAUCCGGAAUUAUUGGGCGUAAAGCGCGCGUAGGCGGUUUUUUAAGUCUGAUGUGAAAGCCCACGGCUCAACCGUGGAGGGUCAUUGGAAACUGGAAAACUUGAGUGCAGAAGAGGAAAGUGGAAUUCCAUGUGUAGCGGUGAAAUGCGCAGAGAUAUGGAGGAACACCAGUGGCGAAGGCGACUUUCUGGUCUGUAACUGACGCUGAUGUGCGAAAGCGUGGGGAUCAAACAGGAUUAGAUACCCUGGUAGUCCACGCCGUAAACGAUGAGUGCUAAGUGUUAGGGGGUUUCCGCCCCUUAGUGCUGCAGCUAACGCAUUAAGCACUCCGCCUGGGGAGUACGACCGCAAGGUUGAAACUCAAAGGAAUUGACGGGGACCCGCACAAGCGGUGGAGCAUGUGGUUUAAUUCGAAGCAACGCGAAGAACCUUACCAAAUCUUGACAUCCUUUGACAACUCUAGAGAUAGAGCCUUCCCCUUCGAGGGACAAAGUGACAGGUGGUGCAUGGUUGUCGUCAGCUCGUGUCGUGAGAUGUUGGGUUAAGUCCCGCAACGAGCGCAACCCUUAAGCUUAGUUGCCAUCAUUAAGUUGGGCACUCUAAGUUGACUGCCGGUGACAAACCGGAGGAAGGUGGGGAUGACGUCAAAUCAUCAUGCCCCUUAUGAUUUGGGCUACACACGUGCUACAAUGGACAAUACAAAGGGCAGCGAAACCGCGAGGUCAAGCAAAUCCCAUAAAGUUGUUCUCAGUUCGGAUUGUAGUCUGCAACUCGACUACAUGAAGCUGGAAUCGCUAGUAAUCGUAGAUCAGCAUGCUACGGUGAAUACGUUCCCGGGUCU
RNAcentral lists this ribosomal RNA (1372 nucleotides) under uncultured bacterium. RNAcentral's name for it is "bacterial SSU rRNA". It matches the Rfam family "Bacterial small subunit ribosomal RNA", at positions 28 to 1381 of the family's 1533-position model. The record is from RNAcentral.